Molecule: ribosomal RNA, 1135 nt
Filed under: Enterobacter mori
Lineage: Bacteria; Pseudomonadati; Pseudomonadota; Gammaproteobacteria; Enterobacterales; Enterobacteriaceae
Description: bacterial SSU rRNA
Rfam family: Bacterial small subunit ribosomal RNA
Source: RNAcentral
CAGACUUCUAGCGGAAGCAGCACUGGGAAUUGCCAACUGACGCAGCUGAUGCAGCCAUGCGCGUGUUAUGAGAGACGUCCGGUGGUAAAGGUACUUUCAGCCGGGGAGAGUCGUGAGGUAUAACCUCAGCGAUUGACGUACCGCAGAGAAGCACCCGCUACUGCGUGCCAGCAGCCGCGGUAAUACGGAGGUGCAAGCGUUAAUCGGAAAUUACUGGGCGUAAAGCGCACGCAGGCGGUCUGUCAAGUCGGAUGUGAAAUCCCCGGGCUCAACCUGGGAACUGCAUUCGAAACUGGCAGGCUAGAGUCUUGUAGAGGGGGGGUAGAAUUCCAGGUGUAGCGGUGAAAUGCGUAGAGAUCUGGAGGAAUACCGGUGGCGAAGGCGGCCCCCCUGGACAAAGACUGACGCUCAGGUGCGAAAGCGUGGGGAGCAAACAGGAUUAGAUACCCUGGUAGUCCACGCCGUAAACGAUGUCGACUUGGAGGUUGUGCCCUUGAGGCGUGGCUUCCGGAGCUAACGCGUUAAGUCGACCGCCUGGGGAGUACGGCCGCAAGGUUAAAACUCAAAUGAAUUGACGGGGGCCCGCACAAGCGGUGGAGCAUGUGGUUUAAUUCGAUGCAACGCGAAGAACCUUACCUACUCUUGACAUCCAGAGAACUUUCCAGAGAUGGAUUGGUGCCUUCGGGAACUCUGAGACAGGUGCUGCAUGGCUGUCGUCAGCUCGUGUUGUGAAAUGUUGGGUUAAGUCCCGCAACGAGCGCAACCCUUAUCCUUUGUUGCCAGCGGUUCGGCCGGGAACUCAAAGGAGACUGCCAGUGAUAAACUGGAGGAAGGUGGGGAUGACGUCAAGUCAUCAUGGCCCUUACGAGUAGGGCUACACACGUGCUACAAUGGCGCAUACAAAGAGAAGCGACCUCGCGAGAGCAAGCGGACCUCAUAAAGUGCGUCGUAGUCCGGAUUGGAGUCUGCAACUCGACUCCAUGAAGUCGGAAUCGCUAGUAAUCGUAGAUCAGAAUGCUACGGUGAAUACGUUCCCGGGCCUUGUACACACCGCCCGUCACACCAUGGGAGUGGGUUGCAAAAGAAGUAGGUAGCUUAACCUUCGGGAGGGCGCUACCACUUUUGAUCAGAGCCG